This 415-nucleotide ribosomal RNA is filed under the name uncultured prokaryote. Its description in RNAcentral is "bacterial SSU rRNA". It matches the Rfam family "Bacterial small subunit ribosomal RNA", at positions 505 to 918 of the family's 1533-position model. The record is from RNAcentral.
GUGUCAGCCGCCGCGGUAAUACGUAGGUGGCAAGCGUUAUCCGGAUUUACUGGGCGUAAAGAGUGCGUAGGCGGUUCUUCAAGUCGGAUGUGAAAUCUCCCGGCUUAACCGGGAGGGGUCAUUCGAAACUGUUGGACUAGAGGACAGCAGGGGGAGGUGGAAUUCCCGGUGUAGUGGUGAAAUGCGUAGAUAUCGGGAGGAACACCAGUGGCGAAGGCGGCCUCCUGGGCUGUUUCUGACGCUGAGGCUCGAAAGUGUGGGGAGCGAACAGGAUUAGAUACCCUGGUAGUCCACACUGUAAACAAUGGACACUAGGUAUGGGGAGUAUCGACCCUUUCUGUGCCGAAGCUAACGCUUUAAGUGUCCCGCCUGGGGACUACGGCCGCAAGGCUAAAACUUAAAUGAAUUGACGGGG